Molecule: ribosomal RNA, 449 nt
Filed under: uncultured bacterium
Lineage: Bacteria
Description: partial 16S ribosomal RNA
Rfam family: Bacterial small subunit ribosomal RNA
Source: RNAcentral
CCUACGGGGGGCUGCAGUCGAGAAUCUUCGGCAAUGGGCGCAAGCCUGACCGAGCGACGCCGCGUGCGGGAUGAAGGCCUUCGGGUUGUAAACCGCUGUCGAGGGGAAUGAAGUGCAGGUGGGUUCUCCCAUCUGUUUGACAGAUCCCUGGAGGAAGCAUGGGCUAAGUUCGUGCCAGCAGCCGCGGUAAGCCGAACCAUGCAAACGUUAUGCGGAUGGACUGGGCAGACGGCGUGCGUAGGCGGUCGUGAAAGCCCUCAGCCCAACUGAGGAAUUGCGCUUGAUACUGCAUGACUAGAGAAUGAUAGAGGUGGGUGGAACUGAUGGUGGAGCGGUGAAAUGCGUUGAUAUCAGCAGGAACACCAGUGGCGAAGGCGACCCACUGGGUCAUUUCUGACGCUGAGGUACGAAAGCUAGGGUAGCGAACGGGAUUAGAUACCCUUGUAGUC